Molecule: non-coding RNA, 3284 nt
Organism: Heterocephalus glaber (naked mole-rat)
Lineage: Eukaryota; Metazoa; Chordata; Mammalia; Rodentia; Bathyergidae
Source: RefSeq, a predicted model, not a curated record
CGGGUGAGCGGCUCAGAUGUCCCCAUCGCCGCGCGGCUCUGGCGCUCCGCACCCUCCGUCUGCGGCAGCGGGGGCUGGCGGCCCUGGCCCCUGCCCGGUCCCCUCCUCCAACCCCAUGCCUCAGCCUUAACCCCGCUGCCCUCCCUCGCGGGGGGCAUUUGCCUGUGUCCCCCGCCCGCCCCGUCCGAGUCGGGAGCCAUGAACGAUCAGUACCACCGGGCCGCCCGGGAUGGAUACCUGGAGCUCCUCAAGGAGGCCACCCGGAAGGAGCUGAACGCCCCCGACGAGGACGGCAUGACCCCCACGCUCUGGGCUGCCUACCACGGCAACCUGGAGUCGCUGCGCCUCAUCGUGAGCCGCGGGGGUGACCCGGACAAGUGUGACAUCUGGGGCAACACGCCCUUGCAUCUGGCAGCUGCCAAUGGCCACUUGCACUGCCUGUCCUUCCUGGUGUCCUUCGGGGCCAACAUCUGGUGCCUGGACAACGACUACCACACGCCACUGGACAUGGCCGCCAUGAAGGGCCACAUGGAGUGCGUGCGCUACCUGGACUCCAUCGCGGCCAAGCAGAGCAGCCUCAACCCCAAGCUGGUGGGCAAGCUGAAGGACAAGGCCUUCCGCGAGGCGGAGCGGCGCAUCCGGGAGUGCGCCAAGAUGCAGCGCAAGCACCACGAGCGCAUGGAGCGGCGCUACCGGCGGGAGCUGGCGGAGCGCUCGGACGCGCUCAGCUUCUCUAGCCUCACGUCCAGCACCCUGAGCCGCCGGCUGCAGCACCUGGCGCUGGGCAGCCAACUGCCCUACUCUCAGGCCACGCUGCACGGCACCGCCAGGGGCAAGACCAAGAUCCAGAGGAAGCUGGAGCGUCGCAAGCAGGGCGGCGAGGGCACCUUCAAGGUCUCGGAGGACGGGCGCAAGAGCGUGCGCUCGCUCUCGGGCCUGCAGCUGGGCAGCGACGUGAUGUUCGUGCGCCCGGGCACCUACGCCAACCCCAAGGAGUGGGGCCGCGCCCCGCUCCGGGACAUGUUCCUCUCGGACGAGGACAGCGUCUCCCGUGCCACGCUGGCGGCCGAGCCUGCCCACUCGGAGGUCAGCACCGACUCAGGCCACGACUCCCUGUUUACCCGCCCCGGCUUGGGCACCAUGGUGUUCCGCAGGAACUACUUAAGCAGCGGCCUGGACGGGACGGGCACGCCACGGGGUCGGCUGCAGAGCUCCCCCAGCCUGGACGGCGACAGCCUGGGCAGUGCCAACAGCCUACAGGACCGCAGCUGCGGGGAGGAGCUGCCCUGGGACGAGCUGGACUUGGGCCUGGACGAGGACCUGGAGCCCGAUACGAGCCCGCUGGAGACCUUCCUGGCCUCGCUGCACAUGGAGGACUUUGCUUCCCUCCUGAGGCAGGAGAAGAUCGACCUGGAGGCGCUGAUGCUGUGCUCAGACCUCGACCUGCGCAGCAUCAGCGUCCCCCUGGGGCCCCGCAAGAAGAUCAUGGGGGCCGUGCGGAGGCGGAGGCAGGCUCUGGAGCGCCCGCCUGCCCUGGAGGACACGGAGCUAUAACCCGGGGUUCCUCUCCUGAGACCAAAAUGAAUCGCAAGUUGCCACAACCCGUGACGGGCCUGCAGGGUCCCCACAGUUGCCAGCCCUGCUGCCCUCUUCCCCAGGAGCAAGGACCAAGUGGGUCAUCUCCCUCAGCCUGCCCACAUACAGAGCAGAGCGUGUGGCCUGGAGGUGUCCAGAGGAGGAUCCCAGAACACCAGUUCCGAGGGUUCCUGCGACCCUGGGCCACCCUACAUGAGUGCCGCUGAAGCACGUGUGGAUCUGUACAACUCCAGCCCCUGGUUGGGGCUGCUUCACACCAGGGACUGGAUGACAUCAGAGCUGGGGGAACACGGCCUGUCUCAGGGUUCCAGCUCCUUCAGACUGCAAGGUUGAAGUUUCUGGACCCUCCGCUCCUUUACACUGUCCCCAUCCUGAAUGGGGGUCCUGUAAAGUUUCCCCUAACUUCUCUGUGGGUGACUGGCUUGUUGGGGUUCUCACGCCUGUGGGGAGGUAGUAGGCUGAGGGAGAAGGACCAAUGUUCCAGAAGGCAGGGCCUGAGACAAGUCUACUUUGUGGGGUCCCCAGGGUACUGAGGGGGUGGUGUGGAACCUCCCCCAGGCUGCAGGGUCCAGCUGGAACCCACAGCCCUGCUGCUUUCCAGGUGAAUUCUCCUUUCCAUGCCUCCCAUUCCCAGCUGUAGAUGGGGAGAAUCAAACCUCCACUACAGGCAAGUUGUGAGGAUAAUGUAAAGUAUUAGCUCAGGCCCCACACUCCUCAGGUGGAAGAACAGCCCUGGACAUGGGGCUGGGGUGGGCUCAUGGGCAUCAGCAAGGCUUGGGCAUCCCUGAGCCAGUGGCAGAGAAGUCUGACAUGCUGGGUUGUCCUCAAACGCCACACCUUCUGCACAGCCUGUUCUCUACUACAGAGCCGAGCUGGGGGAGGUCGCCACGCCCCUGAGUCCCCAGCUCUCCCCCCCGCAGAGAGAGAGAGUGCGCACUGGGUGCCAUAGCGUGUGCUGGGAGGCUGAGUCAGGAGCAUUUUAAGUCUGAGCUUGGCCUAGGCCACUUAAAAACUUUGGAAGACCCUGUCUCAAAGUUAUUAAUAAAAAAAGAGUCUGUAAAAGACCCUGGAUUCUGAAAAAGAAAAGACAACAACGAAACACAUACCUGAGGGAAAACAGGCCACAAAGAGAGAAGAAUAGAGAGUGUGAAGGUGUUUUCAAUAUAUGUUAGGUGUAAAUCGUGUCGACAAUUCAACAUAAUAAUGCAUAAUCACAGCACAAGAACACAGUACAGUUACUGCCCUCUCCAGGAACCCAGGGAGGUGGGCAGCAUCAUCGGUGCCCACUCCUACUCACCCUCUUAGAAAACUGAGCCUCAGAGGGGUCAAGAUUGCCCAGCAGGGACCAGACCUCGGUGUGUCUGAGCCCAGCGCCUGGCUCUUGACGUUGCUCUUGGUUUUUCUCCACCCUGUGCAAGAAUUGCAGCCCUCACUCCUCCUCCAGCCCUGGUACCGGCCCCACCAGUCUUGUCUGUACCCCACAUGGGACAGUGGUGCUACCCUGAUGCAGGGGAGGGACCAGGCCUCCCCCGGAACAGCUCACCCAUAGGGAGUCUGCGAGGCCCACGGUUCCAGCCCUGGGUUUUCAAGGAUCUAAGUUGCUGGGUAACUUGGAGAGGCUGACAGCCCUUGAAGGGUCAGCAGGGUUCCUGGAAGAUCCUGCCUGGUCCCCAUCCCCACCCCCUCAC